AAACUCUUCUUAUCCUGUCUGGCCUGAUAAUGUGCAUUCUGCUAAUUACUGUAACAGGUUUCAUUAUAAGCCACAGCAGUAGGUCUCCAAACAGCGGUUUACAGCAGAAUGAAGAGUCCAGCAGAUUAAAGAAGCUGUACACAGUGAUGCAACAGAACGGCCGCAGAAGCAGCACCUUCACUGUGGUGGAGUUUACUCAGCUUAGCUCUGUUCUGUAGGAUCAACCACACGUGUGGUCACUAUACACAUCAACUGCCAAACACACAAAGCUGAGAAACACUGCCUCCAUUUUCAAAAUCAGGAAAUAAUCUUCUCUGAGAAGAUUUUAAAAUAACCACUUUUCACUUUCUCACGCGAUAAAACAUAUAUUUCUUUUGUAUUUCGAAUCAUACCGUGUGUUCACAUAAACAAAUAAAGACAAGACC
Long non-coding RNA from Astyanax mexicanus (Mexican tetra), 425 nucleotides. RefSeq lists it as uncharacterized. The transcript is spliced from 3 exons. Lineage: Eukaryota; Metazoa; Chordata; Actinopteri; Characiformes; Acestrorhamphidae. The record is from RefSeq and is a predicted model, not a curated record.